Molecule: ribosomal RNA, 253 nt
Filed under: uncultured bacterium
Lineage: Bacteria
Description: partial 16S ribosomal RNA
Rfam family: Bacterial small subunit ribosomal RNA
Source: RNAcentral
UACGUAGGGUGCGAGCGUUAAUCGGAAUUACUGGGCGUAAAGCGAGCGCAGGCGGUCCUAAAAGCCAGAUGUGAAAUCCCCGAGCUCAACUUGGGAACUGCGUUUGGAACUCUAGGACUAGAGUGUGUCAGAGGGAGGUAGAAUUCCACGUGUAGCAGUGAAAUGCGUAGAGAUGUGGAGGAACACCGAUGGCGAAGGCAGCCUCCUGGGAUAACACUGACGCUCAUGCUCGAAAGCGUGGGGAGCAAACAGG